UCCCCUAUCUCUCUUUACGUGAUGAGUUAUUGUUUUUCAGGAAACUUUUUGACUUGCCAAGACUCUCUCUCCUCACUUUUCUUCAAACCUUCAAAAGACUCUCCAUCAUCUUCUUCCUAUUUUCAUGCUUCACCACACAAAAGAUCUUAAGAUCUGAGCAUCGUUCGUGUUCGAGCGUAGAUCGGAGAUCCAAAGCCCCACUUCACUGCACCCAUAGCAGGUCAGUAGUGUCUCUUCCUAUUCUUUUCAGUUCUGAAGAUAUUUAGUCAUAUUCAUGCUAUGAAUUAUGCUAGGCUAAUGUUAAAUAUCAUGAAAUAUAAAUUUUCAGCAAGCUUCUAGUUGAUUGUCGUUAUUCAUGAUUUGUAGCUUGUAUAUUAGGAUUAUGCCUAUAGGACUCAUUCAAUUUACUCGUUCACAUGUUACCAGAUUUGAAAUAUUUAGAAUAAAUUAGUAGAAGCUUUAAUGUGUGUUUCGUUGGACUAAAUAACUUGUUGUUUGAGAUUUAAGAAAUUUUAGCCUUUUAGCUUAUAUCACUAGCUCAAUAUGUGCUUACAAAUUCUAUGUAUCAUGAGCUCCAUAGCCUUUACAAAUCUCAUGAUUAAUGUUCAUCUCUAUACAUUUAGUGAAUAGUUUAAGUGUUGUUGAAAACCAGCGGCCUUUUAAGUUUACAACUUCUUCCUUUUUCAUGUUAAAAGAUGACUUUUAUAUUUAAAGGGGUCAAGUCUUUGAGGUUUCAAAUAAGAAAUCAUCACUGUUGCGAUAUGGUGCAUCUAUUCAUGUUUAUCAUUUCUUUUUCUGAAAAGAAUGAGAUGUUUGAUAGCAUGUUGUUGAGUUCUGUUCUUUCUUUUACAUGUAUAUAAAAUUUAGUAGUAUGUUUACUGUUCUGUGGGAAAAAUGAACGACCAUUUGAUCUUAAAAGUGAUUUCCAAAACGGUAUAGAGUAUGUUUCUUUGUUUAUCCACAUGUUGUAUUUAGUGUGAAACUGGACUAAUUGUUCACGUCUUUAUGUCCUUAAUCGUGUAUAUAUUUUCAGUGUUUUCCUCUAACUUACAUGUUGCUGUGAAUUGAAUGAUAAUGUUGCUUACUUUGUUUUACUCAUUUUUUUCAUAAAAAAGAAUCAUAUCGUUGUUCUAAUCUUUCGUUACUUUUUGCUUGUUGCAUGAUAUCCGGAGUUGCAAGGAGUCUCAAAUGAGACUCGAUGGCGCCGCUAGAUCAAAACAGCAUCUCUCCUUCACUUUGUGUCCUUAGUUCCCUUGAAACCCACCCGAAUAGAAAUAAUGAGGGUCGAGAUGAAAUCUUGAACUCAUGUCGGAUUCUUAUUCGAUUCUCUCCCUCUCCUGAAAGCAAUCCGAGUAGAAGCAAGAGGAAGAGGGGGGAGGACGAGAAUGGCUGCUGCAUUUUUUUAACAUAUCUAUGCUUACUUAGUUAUUUGUAUUCUUGUGUGUGAUUGUUUAUUUGAUAUGUUUUAGUUUAGUGGCCUUGAACAUCUAACUUUAGAGGGGUAGUUGGGAUAUAAUUUUAGUGAAAUCUUGAGGAGUAAUUAUAUUUUUCCAAAACAUUAAUUGAGCUCAUUUUGAGGCUACAGCAAAGUUAUUUUUCAAAGUACGUAAAACCAGAUUUUGUUUAAAAACGUCCUUUGAAAUCUAUGCAAUUUUCGCUCCUUGAUUCA
This is a long non-coding RNA of Lycium barbarum (goji berry), 1669 nucleotides long. RefSeq lists it as uncharacterized. The record is from RefSeq and is a predicted model, not a curated record. Lineage: Eukaryota; Viridiplantae; Streptophyta; Magnoliopsida; Solanales; Solanaceae. The transcript is spliced from 2 exons.